AAAAAAAAGAAAAAAAAAAGAAGCAAAGUAGUGGGCAACCCGAUCGCGCGUACAACUCGAGGCUCCGCAUCGGAGUGCUACCUCCACGAUUUGCCUUACUCUUCAAUUUGGUCCUCAAGGACGUCAUUAGCCGCGGCCGCUUCUUCUAGUCGAUUCUCUGCAAGCACGACGAGGUUUUGGUCCUCGUUAAGGUCUAUUUCAAGCGCGGCGAUUUCAUCAAUCUCAGAGAGUACGAGCGCCGCCUCGAACACAUCAAGGAAACCUUCCUUGCCCUUGACCACUCCCAUAUCUGGCCGUUUCAGGUCCAACAUUUUUCCAUUUUCUCUUCCCUCUUUUUCUCUGUUUGGGAUUAGGAUUUCUAGCGUUUUGUUUUGGUUGCUGGGGAAACAUUGCAAAUUAAGAAAAAUUUUCAAGUUUAGAUAAGUUUGAUAUGCUUCUGUAAGGUUCACUUGAAUGGAAUUUUAAUUGGUGACCAUUUAGGUACAGUGCGUUAGGAAAGCGCGGGAAGGAGGUGAGUAGUUCUUAUUCUUUGUGCUUUGUGUUGUUUUUUCGUUUUAUGAAUGUAAGAAUUUUUUUUUUUCUUAAACAAUGGUUAUAAAUCUAAAUUAGAGAAUUUAUUGUCUUGUUUGCUUAGGGAAUUGACAAUUUGAAUCUUAGACUUUAGAGACUGAAAGCUCUGUUGAAUAUUACAGAGCUGUAUAGUUGAGUAGACUUAGGGAUGAAAACGGGUAGGAAAUCUGUAAAUUUUAAAAUAUCUAAUUCUGAACCUAUUUAAUAUAUAAACCAGCCUGAAUACGUCCCAAACUUAAAUAAAAUAUAUUUUUUAUUACCCAAUCUGAAUCUGAUUACUAAUACUGUAUACUAUUCGAACCAGACCAAAUCCAUUAUUUUAUUAUGCAUUUUUGCUGAAAAAUUAAAAAAAAAGUAUCCAAACGGAAACAUGAUUAGAAAGCAUUCAAGCUAUUGAAGUCAUUCACCAAUCUAUUUGCCUCUG
This 994-nucleotide unclassified non-coding RNA is filed under the name Hevea brasiliensis (rubber tree). The record is from RNAcentral. Lineage: Eukaryota; Viridiplantae; Streptophyta; Magnoliopsida; Malpighiales; Euphorbiaceae.